Molecule: small nuclear RNA, 104 nt
Organism: Suncus etruscus (white-toothed pygmy shrew)
Lineage: Eukaryota; Metazoa; Chordata; Mammalia; Eulipotyphla; Soricidae
Source: RefSeq, a predicted model, not a curated record
GUGUUCGCUUCAGCAGCACAUAUAAUAAAAUUGGAAUGAUACAGAGAAGAUUAGCAUGGUCCCUGUGCAAGAAUGGACAGAAUUGUAACUCCCAGUACCUCAAU